Molecule: long non-coding RNA, 914 nt
Organism: Hemicordylus capensis (graceful crag lizard)
Lineage: Eukaryota; Metazoa; Chordata; Lepidosauria; Squamata; Cordylidae
Exons: 2
Source: RefSeq, a predicted model, not a curated record
UCAGUGCUAAGGAGGUCUUUAGAGCCCUAAGAAUUAUAAUUCCGAGAUCCAUGCAGAAGGUCCAUUUUCCGAUUAAACCAUAGAAGACUUGUCUACAUGGACAUCCAAAUGACAUAUGGAUGAGUGCAAAUUUAAUACGUGGUUUUAGAGUCUUUCAGUGGAAAUGACAGGACUAAGCCAGAAGCCUCAUGGAAAAAAGAAGACUGGGGAAGUUACUGGAGAGAAAGAAGUGGAGAGAAAAUUAGUUGCUUGCAGGCAAACUAAUUGCAGAGACAUGUUGUACAUCUACACUGGCUGCCGAUAAGUUUCCAGGAAAAAUACAAGGUGCUGUUUAUAACCUAUAAAGCCCUAAACAGCUUGGGCCCUGGGUUUUUAAGAGAACGUAUUCUUCGUCAUGAACCCCACCACCCACUGAGAUCAUCUGGAGAGGUCCAUCAGAAGUUGCCACCGGGUCAUCUGGUGGCUACUCGGGGACAGGCCUUCACUGCUGUCCCAAAGCUUUGGAACAUGCUUCCUGCUGAAAUAAGAGCCUCCCCAUCUCUGACAACUUUUUAAAAGUCUUUAAAGGUGCAUCUAUUCACCCAGGCUUUUAAUCAAAUGUAGUUUUACAAGUUUUAACAUUGUUUUGAAAUGUUGUUUUAAAAUUUAAAUUGCUGUAAUGUUUUAACCUCUUCUGUAUCAUUUAUUUUGUUUUAACUAUUGUUUUAAUUUUUCUGUUGUCAUUUGUUUUAACUAAUGCUUUAACUUUUUGUUUUUGUUUGUUUGCUUUGUUGUAAACCACCCAGAGACGUGAGUUGUGGGUGAUAUUUUAAAAUGUUAAUUACAUACAUACAUAUACAUACAUACAUAGAUCUUAGUUAAAUGUUGACAAAAUGCAUUAGUAUGAGAAAUAAAGUAAACAUUUUACAUCAAAA